This 1165-nucleotide ribosomal RNA is filed under the name marine metagenome. Its description in RNAcentral is "bacterial SSU rRNA". It matches the Rfam family "Bacterial small subunit ribosomal RNA", at positions 314 to 1513 of the family's 1533-position model. The record is from RNAcentral.
GGGGACUGAGACACGGCCCCCACUCCUACGGGAGGCAGCAGCAGGGAAUCUUGCACAAUGGGCGAAAGCCUGAUGCAGCGACGCCGCGUGAGGGAUGAAGGUUCUAGGAUCGUAAACCUCUUUUCUUAGGGAAUAGUUUGGAAGGUACCUAAGGAAUAAGUCACGGCUAACUACGUGCCAGCAGCCGCGGUAAUACGUAGGUGGCAAAUGUUGUCCGGAAUCAUUGGGCGUAAAGGGUCCGUAGGUGGCAUAAAAAGUCUUAUGUGAAAUCUCUUGGCUCAACCAAGAAACGCCAUAAGAAACUUUCAUGCUAGAGAUCAUCAGAGGGAGGUAGAAUUCCAGGUGUAGUGGUGAAAUGCGUAGAUAUCUGGAGGAAUACCAAUGGCGAAAGCAGCCUCCUGGGGUGAAUCUGACAUUGAGGGACGAAAGCGUGGGUAGCAAACCGGAUUAGAUACCCGGGUAGUCCAUGCCGUAAACGAUGAAUACUGGGUCUUCGGGGAAUCGACCCCCUGUGGACCGAAGCUAACGCGUUAAGUAUUCCGCCUGGGGAGUACGGUCGCAAGACUAAAACUCAAAGGAAUUGACGGGGGCCCGCACAAGCAGCGGAGCGUGUGGUUUAAUUCGAUGGUAAACGAAGAACCUUACCUAGGUUUGACAUAUAAGUAGUACUGACCCGAAAGGUGAUGGACCCGCAAGGGAGCUUAUACAGGUGCUGCAUGGUUGUCGUCAGCUCGUGCCGUGAGGUGUUGGGUUAAGUCCCGCAACGAGCGCAACCCUCGUGGAUAGUUGUUUUCUUUAUCCAGACUGCUUUUACAAGAGGAAGGUGGGGAUGACGUCAAAUCAUCAUGGCUCUUACACCUAGGGCUACACACACGCUACAAUGGACAGUACAGACGGUUGCUAAGUCGCAAGAUGGAGCCAAUCCGAUAAAGCUGUCCCCAAUUGGGAUUGUAGGCUGAAACUCGCCUGCAUGAACCUGGAGUUGCUAGUAACCGCAGAUCAGAAUGCUGCGGUGAAUACGUUCCCGGGCCUUGUACACACCGCCCGUCACGUCAUGGAAGUUUGAAACACUUGAAGUCGUUGGGCUUACCUUUUAGGAGGCAGGCGCCGAGAGUGGGGCAAAUGACUGGGACGAAGUCGUAACAAGGUAGCUGUACCGGAAGGU